GGAGAGGUGCUCGAGUGGUUGAAGAGGCACGCCUGGAAAGCGUGUAUACCCCAAAAGGGUAUCCGGGGUUCGAAUCCCCGUCUCUCCGC
Molecule: transfer RNA, 89 nt
Filed under: Phocaeicola vulgatus
Lineage: Bacteria; Pseudomonadati; Bacteroidota; Bacteroidia; Bacteroidales; Bacteroidaceae
Also listed under: 5 other names
Description: tRNA-Ser
Rfam family: tRNA
About the family: Transfer RNA (tRNA) molecules are approximately 80 nucleotides in length. Their secondary structure includes four short double-helical elements and three loops (D, anti-codon, and T loops).
Source: RNAcentral